CCAGUCGCUUCGCCUCAGGCCCCUGCCCUGGCCCAAGCGAGCCAGCCAUGGAGGGGGAUGUGCCCGCCGCUGCAGCCGCCUGCUACCAGCCGGCCAGCCCCCCGCGGGACGCCUGUGUCUACAACAGCUGCUACUGUGAAGAAAAUAUUUGGAAACUCUGUGAAUACAUCAAAAAUCAUGACCAGUAUCCUUUAGAAGAGUGUUAUGCUGUCUUCAUAUCUAAUGAGAGGAAGAUGAUACCUAUUUGGAAACAACAGGCAAGACCUGGAGAUGGACCUGUGAUCUGGGAUUACCAUGUUGUCCUGCUUCAUGUUUCAAGUGGAGGACAGAGCUUCAUUUAUGAUCUUGACACUGUGCUGCCAUUUCCCUGUCCUUUUGACACUUACGUGGAAGAUGCCUUUAAGUCUGAUGAGGACAUCCAUCCACAGUUCAGAAGGAAAUUUAGAGUGAUCCGUGCAGAUUCAUAUUUGAAGAACUUCGCUUCUGACCGAUCUCACAUGAAAGAUUCCAGUGGGAACUGGAGGGAACCUCCUCCUUCGUACCCCUGCAUUGAAACUGGAGUUGUUGUCUCUCAUUGGCCAAACCCAACCAGAAACUAAGGACAAGGGACCCUGGAUACUGCAGUCCUUGGGAGACAGCCCUGCAGACCGCAGAGAAGGGUAGAAAAUGGAGAAAGGGAAUCAUGGCAAUAACGUGGUACCUGCUUGUCACCUUCCUUCUCCAUCACCCAGGAAAGCCCACGGCCGAACUGAGUGUUUUGCAGAAUCAACCCAGCCCAUCCCAAAAUCUCCUCCAGGCCACUUCCACAGAAAACUGAUCGUCACUAAACAAAUGUCAUCUCACAGCUGACCCCCUGGGUAUGUUUUUACUUGUACUUUUGCCCCUCGCCCUCCCAUGCUACGAAUCCCGCUGCUCAAAGUAAUAACAUCAAGUAAUCAUGCACUCUAGUUGAAGAUGCCAUGGACUUUUUUCUAGAUCUUGCUAUGAAGUGAGCGCUCACCUAUUGUUUCCCUAAAUGUUGUGCCUUACUCUCAAAAGACUCCAGGCUUGUUGCUCGUAUACCCUUACUUUGGACCAGAUCACACCUAACAUCCCUGUGGACUUGUGCUCACGCACAGUGCUCUGGACUUCCUCCUUCCUUCUCCAGAAGUCGAAAGUACUUCCUAGCUGACAUCAAUGUCAAAAUCUACGUUACCGGGGUGGGGGGGGGUAGGGGCAGUGGCUAGGUAGGUACAGCAACAAGAGGGGAGCCUCCUAUCUCUUCCAGCAAUUUCCAUUUCCAUCGUCCUGUCCCUCUGGCUUUUAGACCAGCAGUUUUGAGAUGGGGAUUCUUUGUCUUUGUUUUUUAGGUUGGGUUGUCCCCAGAGGGUUUGCCAAUUCUAAAGAUGAUUAGUACCCAGGGAACGAUAAUUUUCUUUUUCAUUCACUUUACUUAUAUGUGAGGCUCUGGUUAUGCUAACAGCUACCAUGGGGCGCCAGCUCAGACGCUCUCACCUGCUAUGUUCUCCAUCACCUUCCCACGAACCACAGCAUCAGAGAGAGGCCAUUUCUAUUCCUUCCCCCAUCCCUCUCCACCUGCCAUUUCCUUUCUUAGUCUCGUCUGCCAAUGAAGGAGAACCAUCAAUGUUGGUUUCUUCUCUUUUUUCCUUAAAAAUUUUCCUCGGCUCUGUCACAUACCAUGUCCAAAAAUGCCAACAGAGAUGGGGAGAGCCCAGAGGCACCGUCAAGGGAAACAUCUCAGAAGACCAUCUCCCAGCCACUUGUGGUAGCGGUCACAGGCACGCCUUGCUGCCUAGGGUAGGAGACGCAGUCGCCGGCAUUGCAGACCGUCCAGAGGAGACUAGUCGGCCAGUUUUGUGCUGAUGGUCUCAAGCAGACAGCAUUUCUGGGGCUGCAAACCUAAGGGUGCCUGGGAGUUCUCACCUCCCUGAUCAGCAUGAAGGGGCAGAGGUCAUGAGUUGAUGGACAGAUGUGGAAGGCCAUGAAUGCCUACACCUAAAAAUGCCAGAGUCAAAGUUUCCAGAGAGAUCUCACAG
Enhydra lutris kenyoni (northern sea otter) is the source of this 2036-nucleotide RNA transcript. It is a transcript of the gene named WDYHV motif containing 1, with no coding region annotated. Lineage: Eukaryota; Metazoa; Chordata; Mammalia; Carnivora; Mustelidae. The transcript has 7 exons. The record is from RefSeq and is a predicted model, not a curated record.